This 246-nucleotide long non-coding RNA is filed under the name Panax ginseng (ginseng). Its description in RNAcentral is "long non-coding RNA (PGIN_LNC011680)". The record is from RNAcentral. Lineage: Eukaryota; Viridiplantae; Streptophyta; Magnoliopsida; Apiales; Araliaceae.
CGAAGUGUGAGACAGAUCUGCUUCAUCGGGAGUUUGUUUGCCCCGAAAGGCCUAACAAAUCAAAGAGAUGACAUUUGCUUACCACGAAGGGCCUGACAAAGUCUAAGGAUGACACUUGCCUACCACGAAGGGCCUGACAAGGUCUAAGUGACGACAAUUGCCUACCACGAAGGGCCUGACAAUGCCUUAAGGAUGACACUUGCCUACCACGAAGGGCCUGACAAGGUCUAAGUGACGACAAUUGCC